Molecule: non-coding RNA, 30 nt
Filed under: Rattus norvegicus (Norway rat)
Lineage: Eukaryota; Metazoa; Chordata; Mammalia; Rodentia; Muridae
Source: RNAcentral
GCCGUGCACAUGGAGCUUCCAGAUACCCUG